RNAcentral lists this ribosomal RNA (503 nucleotides) under Lecanora fuscobrunnea. Its description in RNAcentral is "partial small subunit ribosomal RNA". It matches the Rfam family "Bacterial small subunit ribosomal RNA", at positions 562 to 1050 of the family's 1533-position model. The record is from RNAcentral. Lineage: Eukaryota; Fungi; Ascomycota; Lecanoromycetes; Lecanorales; Lecanoraceae.
AAAGGGUACCUAGACGGUAUAUCAAGCCUGCAAUACGGGACUAAUGUACUAGAGUUACUUACGAGGGGGUAUUAAAGUACUGCUGGUGUAGAGAUGAAAUUCUGUCAUACCUCAUUUCGUAAGAAAUACUACGGCACAGGUAUAGGCGAAAGCAUCCCCUUAUGUGAUAACUGACGUUGAAGGACGAAGGCUUUGUGUAGCGAACAGGAUUAGAUACCCCAAUAGUCAAAGCAGAAAAUGAUGAAUGUCAUAGAUUAGACAUAUAGUUUAUUCUAUAAAUGAAAGUGUAAGCAUUCCACCUCAAGAGUAAUUUGGCAACAUUGGAACUGAAAUCAUUAGACCGUUUCUGAAACCAGUAGUGAAGUAUGUUGUUUAAUUUGAUAAUCCGCAAAAAACCUUACCACAAUUUGAAUAUUUAGAUUUUAAUUUUCUUUUUUUUUUUUUUUCGCUGUUUUGUUUAGAUUUUCUCCUUAUAGGGAAAUUAUGAAAAGAGCAGCAUUAAA